Long non-coding RNA from Saccostrea cuccullata (small rock oyster), 262 nucleotides. RefSeq lists it as uncharacterized. The record is from RefSeq and is a predicted model, not a curated record. Lineage: Eukaryota; Metazoa; Mollusca; Bivalvia; Ostreida; Ostreidae. The transcript has 3 exons.
GGAAACAAUUAAAAAAAGAGCCAGUAUCAACUUGCGAGAGCAAACGGAGAUGCGCAGAGCCAAAACCAUCAUGGCAGCUGUCCAUUUAGAGCUUUUGGAUAAUGCAGCCAUUGUGAAGAAAAUACAAAUAGAAUUGGCCAGAAAGAUACUGCAAACAGGACCUCUUCACAAAGAGCUUUUGGACACAAUGAAAAAAAGAGCCAGUAUUAACUUACGAGAAGAAACGGAGAUGCGUAGAGCCAAAACCAUCACGGCUGCGGUC